This 253-nucleotide ribosomal RNA is filed under the name uncultured bacterium. Its description in RNAcentral is "partial 16S ribosomal RNA". It matches the Rfam family "Bacterial small subunit ribosomal RNA", at positions 524 to 776 of the family's 1533-position model. The record is from RNAcentral.
UACAGAGGGUGCAAACGUUGUUCGGAAUUACUGGGCGUAAAGCGUGUGUAGGCGGCCACGUAAGUCGGAUGUGAAAGCCCCAGGCUCAACCUGGGAAGUGCACUCGAUACUGCGUGGCUUGAGUAUCGGAGAGGUUGGUGGAAUUCUCGGUGUAGAGGUGAAAUUCGUAGAUAUCGAGAGGAACACCGGUGGCGAAGGCGGCCAACUGGACGAAUACUGACGCUGAGACACGAAAGCGUGGGGAGCAAACAGG